GGACUACAAGGGUUUCUAAUCCCGUUUGCUCCCCUGGCUUUCGCGUCUCAGCGUCAGUAAGAGCCCAGGACCUCGCUUUCGCCACGGGCGUUCCUUCCGAUCUCAACGCAUUUCACCGCUCCACCGGAAGUUCCAGGUCCCCCUACUCCCCUCCAGACCGGUCGUAUCGGUGCCAAUUCCCCGGUUGAGCCGGGGGAUUUCAACAUCCGACGUGCCGAUCCGCCUACACGCGCUUUAAGCCCAGUGAUUCCGAAUAACGUUUGCACGGUUCGUCUUACCGCGGCUGCUGGCAC
RNAcentral lists this ribosomal RNA (293 nucleotides) under uncultured Planctomycetota bacterium. RNAcentral describes it as "uncultured planctomycete partial 16S ribosomal RNA". Lineage: Bacteria; Pseudomonadati; Planctomycetota. The record is from RNAcentral.